Molecule: ribosomal RNA, 478 nt
Filed under: uncultured bacterium
Lineage: Bacteria
Description: partial 16S ribosomal RNA
Rfam family: Bacterial small subunit ribosomal RNA
Source: RNAcentral
GACGAACGCUGGCGGCGUGCUUAACACAUGCAAGUCGAACGGUAAGGCCCUUCGGGGUACACGAGUGGCGAACGGGUGAGUAACACGUGGGUGAUCUGCCCUGCACUUCGGGAUAAGCCUGGGAAACUGGGUCUAAUACCGGAUAGGACCACUGCCUGCAUGGGUGGUGGUGGAAAGCUUUUGCGGUGUGGGAUGGGCCCGCGGCCUAGCAGCUUGUUGGUGGGGUGAUGGCCUACCAAGGCGACGACGGGUAGCCGGCCUGAGAGGGUGACCGGCCACACUGGGACUGAGAUACGGCCCAGACUCCUACGGGAGGCAGCAGUGGGGAAUAUUGCACAAUGGGCGCAAGCCUGAUGCAGCGACGCCGCGUGAGGGAUGACGGCCUUCGGGUUGUAAACCUUUUUUAGUAGGGAAGAAGCGAAAGUGACGGUACCUGCAGAAAAAGCACCGGCUAACUACGUGCCAGCAGCCGCUGUAA